RNAcentral lists this ribosomal RNA (484 nucleotides) under uncultured bacterium. Its description in RNAcentral is "partial 16S ribosomal RNA". It matches the Rfam family "Bacterial small subunit ribosomal RNA", at positions 30 to 507 of the family's 1533-position model. The record is from RNAcentral.
AUUGAACGCUGGCGGCAGGCCUAACACAUGCAAGUCGAGCGGAUGAAGGGAGCUUGCUCCUGGAUUCAGCGGCGGACGGGUGAGUAAUGCCUAGGAAUCUGCCUGGUAGUGGGGGAUAACGUCCGGAAACGGGCGCUAAUACCGCAUACGUCCUGAGGGAGAAAGUGGGGGAUCUUCGGACCUCACGCUAUCAGAUGAGCCUAGGUCGGAUUAGCUAGUUGGUGGGGUAAAGGCCUACCAAGGCGACGAUCCGUAACUGGUCUGAGAGGAUGAUCAGUCACACUGGAACUGAGACACGGUCCAGACUCCUACGGGAGGCAGCAGUGGGGAAUAUUGGACAAUCGGCGAAAGCCUGAUCCAGCCAUGCCGCGUGUGUGAAGAAGGUCUUCGGAUUGUAAAGCACUUUAAGUUGGGAGGAAGGGCAGUAAGUUAAUACCUUGCUGUUUUGACGUUACCAACAGAAUAAGCACCGGCUAACUUCGUG